This is a non-coding RNA of Castor canadensis (American beaver), 186 nucleotides long. Lineage: Eukaryota; Metazoa; Chordata; Mammalia; Rodentia; Castoridae. The record is from RefSeq and is a predicted model, not a curated record.
AAUAGAGGUGUUUCUGAGAAGUAUCGAAAGCUUGUGUCUGCAGUUGUUGAAUAUGGUGGUAAACGAGUUAGAGGAAGUGACCUCUUUAGUCCCAAAGAUGCUGUGGCUAUUACCAAACAGUUUCUCAAAGGAUUAAAGGGAGUAGAAAAUGUGUAUACACAGCAUCAGCCUUUCCUACAUGAGACC